Molecule: ribosomal RNA, 253 nt
Filed under: uncultured bacterium
Lineage: Bacteria
Description: partial 16S ribosomal RNA
Rfam family: Bacterial small subunit ribosomal RNA
Source: RNAcentral
UACAGAGGGGGCAAGCGUUGUUCGGAAUUACUGGGCGUAAAGGGCGCGUAGGUGGCCUUCUAAGUUGAACGUGAAAUCCCUGGGCUCAACCCAGGAACUGCGUCCAAGACUGGGAGGCUUGAAUCCGGGAGAGGGAUGCGGAAUUCCAGGUGUAGCGGUGAAAUGCGUAGAUAUAGGAAGGAACACCAGUGGCGAAGGCGACCACCUGGACUGAUACUGACACUGAGGUGCGAAAGCGUGGGGAGCAAACAGG